UGGGGUGUAGCCAAGCGGCAAGGCACGGGACUUUGGAUCCCGCAUCGUAGGUUCGAAUCCUACCGCCCCAGCCA
RNAcentral lists this transfer RNA (74 nucleotides) under Bacillota bacterium. Its description in RNAcentral is "Firmicutes bacterium (anaerobic digester metagenome) tRNA-Gln". It matches the Rfam family "tRNA". Rfam says of the family: Transfer RNA (tRNA) molecules are approximately 80 nucleotides in length. Their secondary structure includes four short double-helical elements and three loops (D, anti-codon, and T loops). Lineage: Bacteria; Bacillati; Bacillota. The record is from RNAcentral. RNAcentral also lists the same sequence under 1 other name.